Molecule: non-coding RNA, 393 nt
Organism: Heterocephalus glaber (naked mole-rat)
Lineage: Eukaryota; Metazoa; Chordata; Mammalia; Rodentia; Bathyergidae
Source: RefSeq, a predicted model, not a curated record
UGCAACACAAGAGUGAAAAGACUUGUGAAAAAGACUACCACAUCUGCAUCUGUCUGCCAAAGCCUUGAGUUACUACUGUCAUCACCACCUACCUCAUCCCAAGGUAAUCAUCAGAAACUACCAAGAGAAUACCAGGAUAUAUGAUUGACCACGAGAAAAUCUUUUAAAGUUUGGAUUAAUGCAAGAAUAGAAGUUCUUAUUUGAGACCCAAAUAUGGACUUUAAAAAGGAAGAUCUAGGACUUCUAAAGUUGAAUGCACAUUUGAGAACAAUUCAUGUGGCCAAUCCUGAAGGGCAUGAGCUGAGAGCAUGUAGACAUUUAGAGUCCAGACUGAAAUCCCACUGCCUAAAUUCAUAUCCUGCUACCUAUUAUCUCUGUGAUCUUCAGUAAGUU